UUACGGCCACAUCACGUUGAAACACCGGCACCCGUACGAUCACCAAAGUUAAGCAACGUCGAACCUGAUCGAUCCUUAGAUGGGUGACUGUUUGGGAAUACCAGGCGUUA
Molecule: non-coding RNA, 110 nt
Organism: Acanthosepion pharaonis
Lineage: Eukaryota; Metazoa; Mollusca; Cephalopoda; Sepiida; Sepiidae
Source: the annotation of a GenBank genome assembly